GGAAUAUUGGUCAAUGGCCGGAAGGCUGAACCAGCCAUGCCGCGUGAAGGUCAGUGCCCUAUGGGCGUUAAACUUCUUUUGUCGGGGAACAAAGGGCGCCACGCGUGGCGUUGUGAGUGUACCCGAAGAAAAAGCAUCGGCUAACUCCGUGCCAGCAGCCGCGGUAAUACGGAGGAUGCGAGCGUUAUCCGGAUUUAUUGGGUUUAAAGGGUGCGUAGGCGGUCCGGAAAGUCAGCGGUAAAAGCCCGGGGCUCAACCCCGGCGAGCCGUUGAAACUGUCGGACUAGAGACGGCGAGAAGUACGCGGAAUGCGCGGUGUAGCGGUGAAAUGCAUAGAUAUCGCGCAGAACUCCGAUUGCGAAGGCAGCGUACCGGCGCCGGCCUGACGCUGAGGCACGAAAGCGUGGGUAUCGAACAG
Molecule: ribosomal RNA, 418 nt
Filed under: uncultured bacterium
Lineage: Bacteria
Description: bacterial SSU rRNA
Rfam family: Bacterial small subunit ribosomal RNA
Source: RNAcentral